CGUUGCCAAAACUGAUAUGCACACAAGUUUCCAAUUAACACCAUCUCCUUUCGACCAAGUUUCACAAUGUUGUUACAAUCACCACCAAAGUAGCGGAAUGUGUACUCUGUAAACAAAUGUUCUUCUCCAAAAGGAUGAAGAAUCGGUAGAGGCUGUGUAUCCAUCAAUAUACCCAUCAGAAUGCCUUCACGCAACAAUCCAAUAUCUCCGAACUUGAGUAUAAGAACAGAGGCAUCAAAGGACAAUGAGAAGCUAGCAAGCAACCUUCCAUAAAACGAAGGCUCAUACCGGCCUCUAGUAGAGAUUCUCAGUGCUUUUAUGCGAACAAGCAAGUUUAAUGCUUCUUCAAC
This 350-nucleotide unclassified non-coding RNA is filed under the name Hevea brasiliensis (rubber tree). The record is from RNAcentral. Lineage: Eukaryota; Viridiplantae; Streptophyta; Magnoliopsida; Malpighiales; Euphorbiaceae.